GAACUGUUUCCUCUUAUGCAAAUAGUCCAGUUAUAUAUAGGGGAGGACUUUGACGGACUAUUCCAGUACGAUUUUCAACAGUCCCGAAAAACCGCGGUUCAUUAUGAUUGGAAAAAUCCAGAUUUAUUCGCUGGUGGUGAUGGCGGUGAUGAUCUUCAUGAUGACGCUAUCUCCGGUGUCUGGAGGCGGUCCCUUGCAGCCGCCCCAGUGCAUCCUCUGCCGCAGCCGAGAAGACAGCGCGUCAAGCGAGUCAGGAAGCUCAUCAUCGAGCUCAUCCGCAAGCUCGAGCGAAUCGCGUUGAGUAUAUCAAAGUCCCGUACUUAUUUCGAAGGGGAAAGAACUCGGAAUUUCAUUUGACUAUUGUUCGUUUUAAUGUUUAAAUGAUAAAUUCUAGUGUUACUAGUUGAGCAUAAUCAAGAGCAUUGUAAUCGUGUUCAAGGGAAUAAAUUACUCGGCUAAGAACAUUAUGGUUGUUUUCGUAUUACAUUUAUUUAUUAUUUUAUGACAGCAACAACAAUAUUUAUAUGGUGACCGAAAUGUGAUGGAAAAACUUAAGGAAAUGGGUAGAAAACUCGAUUGGAUUUCUAUUCAAUUUUCAGCUUUAAUAGAGAAUACAAAAGUAGAUGAAAUGUAAAUUAAUAAACAAUAAUAAUAGUAGUGAAAAUAUAUUACAAAUAAUCCACAGUCUUUCAGUUGCGUCCUGAUUUAUUUAUUUAUUGCUACACUAUUUUUUCAAGUGAAUAAAAUUUCUAUUUCCUCUCCAAUUUUGAAAGUGCGAUUUCUGAAUACGGAAUAAUUGGCCAGGUCUUAAAUUACUGUUAUUUUUUUCUCAGCAACAGAAAACAAUUAUUUGCCAUUCAUUAUUAUUCAUAUAUAAUGAGCUACGACUGUUUGCAUUGUCUGGUUUUCCUGCUAAAAAUUCAUGGCAAGUGUUUACCAUUAUCGAAUCUCAUUUCCAACUCCACUAUCUCGACACUUUAACAAACCUCCGCUGAAUUAUGAUUGAGUUAUCCUUCCCGACGAUGGUUUACCAUCAGCUCAAUAUUUUUUUUGGAGGCAAAUACAGCGGAGGUAUAUAAAACCGCGAUGCCAGAUUUUCGUAUUCAGUGCAGCUUAAUGAAGAAUUAUUGGGAGUGAUAAGGAAUUAAAAUGAAGAAGUGUGAGGUUUUCAGUUGGAUUGUGAUAAUGGCGUUUGUAUUUUUGGCAGCUCUAGUCUCAGUCGAAGGACUACCCGCACGUGGUCCCCCCAUGUGCAUCCUUUGCCGGUGAUGGGCAUGAACUACGUAUUUUUCGAAGGAUAAAUUCGAUUUUUAUCGUGAAAUAAAAAAUUUUGUGUCGCCUAACAAUUGAAAAAACAAACAAAUAAAAAAGGAUUUACUAUUGAAAUUUUUUUUUGUCAAUUUUUUUUGGUGGCAACUUUUUAGCUGAUCCUAGAAUUAUUUACAACAUUUACUGGUUUAAAAUGUGGUGUUAAAAUAAUGCACAGGAUGUUUCAACUCGUGAUAUCUCGAAACGGGAAGGAAUAUCUGAAUGAGAAGAUAGAGCAGGAAAAUUAUCGAAUGGCAUUGAGGUAACAGAAUGCACAUCAAUAAUGUUCAUUCAUGAUUAAUCAAUUGUUUACGAUCAUUAUUAAUGAUCAUCGAGGUGUAUCUCUACCACCUUCUGCUCGUGGAAACAUUUCAGUCGCAAUCAAGGACUUCACCUUACAACUUCUCAAAGUGCGAUAGAACAGUCUCUGUGAAGAGGACAAUUUUCGUCAUGGCAAAGGCACAGAUCUUGGCUCUAAUGCUGAUGGUGGUGAUCACCUUCCUGGCAGCGCUGAUGCCAGUUGAAGGCCUAGCACCGCAGAAUCCCCCCCAGUGUAUUCUGUGCCGAAACGGAUAGGAAUGGAUCGGGUUUCUCUCAUGUAUCGAUUAUAAACGGAAAUUAAUGAUGUUCUAUGAUUUAUUCGUUCUCCUCACAAUUGUUCAGUUGAAUAAAAAAAAUUACUUUCAAGAAUUA
Diachasmimorpha longicaudata is the source of this 2001-nucleotide RNA transcript. RefSeq lists it as uncharacterized. The transcript is spliced from 4 exons. NCBI's taxonomy places the organism in Eukaryota, Metazoa, Arthropoda, Insecta, Hymenoptera, Braconidae. The record is from RefSeq and is a predicted model, not a curated record.